RNAcentral lists this ribosomal RNA (253 nucleotides) under uncultured bacterium. Its description in RNAcentral is "partial 16S ribosomal RNA". It matches the Rfam family "Bacterial small subunit ribosomal RNA", at positions 524 to 776 of the family's 1533-position model. The record is from RNAcentral.
UACAGAGGUCCCGAGCGUUGUUCGGAUUCACUGGGCUUAAAGCGUGUGUAGGCGGGCGGGCAAGUACCUUGUGAAAUCCCACGGCUCAACCGUGGAACGGCUGGGUAUACUGCCUGUCUUGAGCCAACUAGGGGCGAGCGGAACAGACGGUGGAGCGGUGAAAUGCGUAGAUAUCGUCUGGAACGCCGAAGGUGAAAACAGCUCGCUGGGGUUGUGCUGACGCUGAGACACGAAAGCCAGGGGAGCGAACGGG